GUCUGGAUGGCUUAGUGGUCAGAGCAUCUGCCUAGUAAGAAGGAGAUCUGGGUUCAAAUCCUGGUCCAGCACA
This is a non-coding RNA of Schistocerca americana (American grasshopper), 73 nucleotides long. The record is from the annotation of a RefSeq genome assembly. NCBI's taxonomy places the organism in Eukaryota, Metazoa, Arthropoda, Insecta, Orthoptera, Acrididae.